Molecule: ribosomal RNA, 496 nt
Filed under: uncultured bacterium
Lineage: Bacteria
Description: partial 16S ribosomal RNA
Rfam family: Bacterial small subunit ribosomal RNA
Source: RNAcentral
GAUGAACGCUGGCGGCGUGCCUAAUACAUGCAAGUCGAGCGAACAGACGAGGAGCUUGCUCCUCAGACGUUAGCGGCGGACGGGUGAGUAACACGUGGAUAACCUACCUAUAAGACUGGGAUAACUUCGGGAAACCGGAGCUAAUACCGGAUAAUAUAUUGAACCGCAUGGUUCAAUAGUGAAAGACGGUUUUGCUGUCACUUAUAGAUGGAUCCGCGCCGCAUUAGCUAGUUGGUAAGGUAACGGCUUACCAAGGCGACGAUGCGUAGCCGACCUGAGAGGGUGAUCGGCCACACUGGAACUGAGACACGGUCCAGACUCCUACGGGAGGCAGCAGUAGGGAAUCUUCCGCAAUGGGCGAAAGCCUGACGGAGCAACGCCGCGUGAGUGAUGAAGGUCUUCGGAUCGUAAAACUCUGUUAUUAGGGAAGAACAAAUGUGUAAGUAACUAUGCACGUCUUGACGGUACCUAAUCAGAAAGCCACGGCUAACUACGU